RNAcentral lists this ribosomal RNA (256 nucleotides) under uncultured bacterium. RNAcentral describes it as "partial 16S ribosomal RNA". It matches the Rfam family "Bacterial small subunit ribosomal RNA", at positions 524 to 776 of the family's 1533-position model. The record is from RNAcentral.
UACGUAGGGUGCAAGCGUUGUCCGGAAUUAUUGGGCGUAAAGAGCUCGUAGGCGGUUUGUCGCGUCUGCUGUGAAAACCUAAGGCUCAACCUUGGGCUUGCAGUGGGUACGGGCAGACUAGAGUGCGGUAGGGGGUGACUGGAAUUCCUGGUGUAGCGGUGGAAUGCGCAGAUAUCAGGAGGAACACCGAUGCGAAGGCAGGUCACUGGGCCGCAACUGACGCUGAGGAGCGGAAAGCAUGGGGGAGGCGAACAGG